AGCGCCGGAUCCUGCAGAGGGGCGAGGCGCUCUAUUUUGUUUUGUGGAAAUCGGCAAUUAUUUCUAGUUGGAUCAAUGGGCAUAAUUUCUGAGAGGUCGGGUGGGUCUGCGUAAGCUUCUACGCGCAUUUGGAAACCCAUUGGGUUUUGAGUUACGAAACCGCACAGACUUUCUCCCACCCCAGCGGCUCCGGGCAAUAAGCUAGGCCUGCCCUACACGGAGCAAGCGAGCGUCAGGCCUUCCCGAGGGGAGUACAAGGUUCUCAGCUGGGGUCCACUGAGGAGGUAGGAAGAAAAGAGAGCUGCCACUCCUGCCUGGAGCUGAACAACAGGCCAAGAAGAGUUUGGUGUUGGAUGUGACAGAGAAAACAUUAAAGGAAUAUUCUGGUUGAGCUCUUCCUUGAA
Molecule: long non-coding RNA, 404 nt
Filed under: Mus musculus (house mouse)
Lineage: Eukaryota; Metazoa; Chordata; Mammalia; Rodentia; Muridae
Description: predicted gene 5563, transcript variant 2 (Gm5563)
Source: RNAcentral